Molecule: ribosomal RNA, 253 nt
Filed under: uncultured bacterium
Lineage: Bacteria
Description: partial 16S ribosomal RNA
Rfam family: Bacterial small subunit ribosomal RNA
Source: RNAcentral
UACGUAGGGUGCAAGCGUUGUCCGGAAUUAUUGGGCGUAAAGAGCUCGUAGGCGGUCUGUCGCGUCUGCUGUGAAAACUCAGGGCUUAACCCUGAGCUUGCAGUGGGUACGGGCAGACUAGAGUGCGGUAGGGGAGACUGGAAUUCCUGGUGUAGCGGUGAAAUGCGCAGAUAUCAGGAGGAACACCGGUGGCGAAGGCAGGUCUCUGGGCCGUAACUGACGCUGAGGAGCGAAAGCAUGGGGAGCGAACAGG